GGCCAAUUGGUCUAGUGGUAUGAUUCGCGCUUCGGGUAAACCCCACAUUCUCAACGAAUGCUGUGCGAGGUCUCGGGUUCGAUCCCCGAAUUGGCCC
Molecule: non-coding RNA, 97 nt
Organism: Cercophora sp. LCS_1
Lineage: Eukaryota; Fungi; Ascomycota; Sordariomycetes; Sordariales; Lasiosphaeriaceae
Source: the annotation of a GenBank genome assembly